RNAcentral lists this ribosomal RNA (163 nucleotides) under uncultured bacterium. RNAcentral's name for it is "partial 16S ribosomal RNA". It matches the Rfam family "Bacterial small subunit ribosomal RNA", at positions 355 to 509 of the family's 1533-position model. The record is from RNAcentral.
UAGGGAAUUUUCGUUCAAUGGGCGCAAGCCUGAACGAGCGAUGCCGCGUGAGUGAAGAAGGCCUUCGGGUCGUAAAGCUCUGUUGCGGGGGAAAAAAGGCAGCAUCAGGAAAUGGGUGCUGACUGAUGGUGCCCCGCCAGAAAGUCACGGCUAACUACGUGCC